RNAcentral lists this ribosomal RNA (223 nucleotides) under uncultured bacterium. RNAcentral describes it as "partial 16S ribosomal RNA". It matches the Rfam family "Bacterial small subunit ribosomal RNA", at positions 116 to 334 of the family's 1533-position model. The record is from RNAcentral.
CGUAGGUAACCUGCCUGGUAGCGGGGGAUAACUAUUGGAAACGAUAGCUAAUACCGCAUAAUAGCAGUUAUUGCAUGAUAACUGUUUGAAAGGUGCAAUUGCAUCACUACCAGAUGGACCUGCGUUGUAUUAGCUAGUUGGUAGGGUAACGGCUCACCAAGGCGACGAUACAUAGCCGACCUGAGAGGGUGAUCGGCCACACUGGGACUGAGACACGGCCCAG